GACGUAGGGCGCGAGCGUUGUCCGGAUUUAUUGGGCGUAAAGAGCUCGUAGGCGGCUUGUUGCGUCGGCUGUGAAAACCCGCGGCUUAACCGCGGGCCUGCAGCCGAUACGGGCAGACUGGAGGUAUGCAGGGGAGAACGGAAUUCCUGGUGUAGCGGUGAAAUGCGCAGAUAUCAGGAGGAACACCGGUGGCGAAGGCGGUUCUCUGGGCAUGUCCUGACGCUGAGGAGCGAAAGUGUGGGGAGCGAACAGG
Molecule: ribosomal RNA, 253 nt
Filed under: uncultured bacterium
Lineage: Bacteria
Description: partial 16S ribosomal RNA
Rfam family: Bacterial small subunit ribosomal RNA
Source: RNAcentral